UUGCAUUCAUCUCUCUUGUCUCUUGCUUUCUGUCUUACAAAAAAAGAAGAAGAUAACAAUGGCUGUUGUCGAAGUUUUUGUUGGUGCAAUUCUCACUGUUUUGCUUGAGAAGCUGGCCUCUGGUGAGCUGCUGAAAUUUCUGCGUCGUGUAGGAAUUGAUGCCCAGCUGGAAGAAUGGCGUACAACUUUGUCGAUGAUCCAGGCCGUGCUUACUGAUGCUGAAAACAAGCAAAUAGGAAACGUAGCUGUGAAACAGUGGCUGACCGAUCUGGAAGAUUUGGCUUACGAUCUUGAAGACUUAGUGGAUGAGUUGAAUACCGAAGCUCUGCAGCGCAAAUUAAAAGAAAAUAAAGGCAGCACCAGCAAGGUAAGAAAGUUCAUCCCAAACUGUUGUACUAAUCUUUCUUACAGUGAUUUCAUGUUUGAUCGCGGGAUUGCUUCCAAGUUAAAAGAGAUUAGUGGCCGAUUGGAAGCUCUAUCCAAAAAGAUAAAAAUUUUCAGAUUAGUGGAGAAUGUGAGAGGGAGGUCUUACGAAAGAUUGCCAACAACUUCGCUCGUGGUAGAAUCGGAAGUUUAUGGAAGAGAGAAGGACAAAGAGGAAAUACUCAAAAUUUUACUUGGUGUUAAAUCAGAUGAUAGUCAAAUAUCUGUGAUUCCAAUUGUGGGCAUGGGAGGUGUCGGCAAAACUACUCUUGUCCAACUUGUGUAUAAUGAUGAAAUAUUGAAGGAUAAGUUUGAUCUGAAGGCAUGGGCUUGCGUGUCAGAUGAAUUUGACGCUGUUGAAGUAACGAAAAACAUUCUGGAGGCAGUUUCUUCUGGUGGAAAGUGUGAUUCUGAAAAUUUUGACAUGCUUCAGGUCAAACUAAAGGAAAGCCUUUCAAACAAGAAAUUUAUGAUAGUUUUGGAUGAUAUUUGGAAUGAAGAUUAUGUAAAAUGGGACAUCCUACGCCGUCCUUUUCUUGCUGGAAAACCUGGAAGCAUAAUCAUCAUUACCACUCGACAAGAAAGGGUGGCCAAAAUCAUGUCCGGAAUGCCAGCAUACCAUCUGAAUUUGUUGUCAGAGGGCGAUGCUUUAUCAUUGUUAGCUCAACAUGUAUUUGGAGUUAAAACUUUUGACGCAUAUCCAGAAUUAAUAGAGAUUGGUAAAUCUAUUGUAAAAAGAUGUAAGAACUUGCCCCUGGCAGUCAAGGCCCUUGGGGGGCUUCUUCGAAGGACAGUAGGUCCGAAAGGAUGGGAAGAGGUGUUGAAAAGUGAGAUCUGGAUGGCUGAAGAAAAGGGUGAAAUUCUUCCGGCUCUAAAACUGAGUUAUCACUAUCUUCCUCCACAAUUGAAAAGAUGCUUUGCUUACUGUGCGCUCUUCCCCAAGGACUAUGAAUUUGAAAAGUUCCAUCUGGUUUACCUUUGGAUGGCUGAAGGUCUUUUGCAGGAAUCAAUGAAAGAUAUGUCUAUUGAAGAAGUAGGCAGUCAAUAUUUUGGUGAACUGCUGGAUGGAUCAUUCUUCCAACAAUCAAGUGCCAAUGCUUCAUGCUUUGUGAUGCACGACCUCUUUAACGAUCUAGCUAUGUCUGUUGCUGGCGAUAAAUGUUUGAGGAUGGAUGAUGCACUGCAGGAAAAUCUUCCUGGUAAGGCUUCUGUCCGUCACUUGUCAUUCAAGCGCAGUUACUAUGAAACUUACCCUAGAUUUAACUUUCUCGACAAAGUUCCAAAAUUGAGAACAUUUUUGCCACUACCGGUUGGGGAGUUUCAUUGCAACUUAUCCCAAAGAAUUUUGCUUCAACUAUUCGCAAAUUCAUGCCGCUUAAGAUUUCUGUCCUUGAAUGGUUAUGAGAUAUACGAGUUGCCAGAUUCUAUCGGUGAUUUAAGACAGUUACGGUACCUAGGCUUAGCUCGAACUCCACUGAAGUGGUUGCCUAAAUCUGUGUGCACUCUUAUCAACUUACAAGUGUUGAUUCUAAGUGGUUGUUGGAGACUUACCAAAUUACCCACAAGCAUGGAAAAUCUUAUUAAUCUUCGGCAUCUGGACAUUUCUGAUACUAGUGAAUUGCAUGAGAUGCCACGGGAAAUUUCUCAACUAACAAGUUUGCGAACGUUAACUAAGAUGACUGCAAGUAAAAAUAAUGGAAUGAGGUUAAAGGAGUUGGGAAAUCUAUCAUUUCUACAAGGUGAUAUUUCUAUUGAGGAAUUGCAAAAUGUUGUGUAUGUUCAAGAAGCAAAGGAUGCAAGGCUAAUGGAUAAGACGAGCCUCAACAAAAUAAGGUUGGCAUGGAGCAAAGACUUUGAUGAUUCUCGAAAUAAGAUUUUAGAAUUGGAUGUGCUUAAUGCAUUAAAGCCCCAUAAAAAUUUAUCAACACUUGAAAUCAUGUACUAUGGGGGUGAGAAUUUCUCUAAUUGGAUUGGAGAUUCAGCAUUUUCUAAGUUAGCAAAGAUAAGCUUCAAAUUUUGUAAAAAUUGCACGAGUUUGCCACCAUUAGGGCAACUACCUUCUCUAAGAGACUUGAGCAUUCGAGGCACUGAUCAAGUAAAAGUGAUUGGAAAAGAAUUUUAUGGAAAUAGAGGCCAUGGAGAAUUACCUUUUCCAUCACUCACUAGUCUGACUUUUGCGGACAUGCCUAACUGGGAGGAAUGGCGUGGAAUAAAAGAUGUUAUCGAACUUCCUCGGCUACACAAACUGAACAUAAGAAGUUGUUCAAAAUUGGUCAGGCUUCCAGAUCUCUUACUGCCAUCCCUUCGUGAAUUAGAAGCUAUAGACUGUAAUAAGGUGGUGCUACAUCAUAUGCAGAAAUUGGAAUCUUUAACUCGAAUACAAUUGACGAACAUUUGUGAAUUAACUUCGGUUAUCAAAGCAUUUGACCAAUUUCCAUCUACGCUUGAAAGAUUGAGAGUAUCAGGAUGUGUGGACCUUGCGACUCUAUUGCCAAGUGAUGAUACCGCACAAAACCUUGUCAGCCUAUGGGAAGUGUAUGUUGAAAGUUGUCCUCGACUAUUGUCCCUUCAAGAGAUUGAUUUUCUUCCUGGUCUUAGGAGUCUUAAAAUAACAAAUUGUGGCGCUUUGGAGUUGUUGUCUAAUAAAAUAUCUUUUCUUGAGAAGUUGGAUAUCAAACACUGUCCAUCAUUAAAGACGGUGAUGAAGCUACAGGAUUGCAGCACCUCGCUCAAUUAUCUGUCUAUUUAUAGUUGGGUGAAUUUGAAUUUGACAAAUUUACUGGGCUCGGGCCACGAUUACACAAGUCUCACUUCAAUAUCCUUAUGGUGUUGUGAUGGUCUAGAGUCAUUUCCCCAUGGAGGCUUGCCCACACCAAAUUUAAGUCGUUUAUCUAUAGGGGGAUGUCGACAUCUCAAAUCUCUACCCGAUCAAAUGAAUCUACUUUCGGCCCUUUUAGACCUGUGGGUAUACAACUGUGCUUCAUUAAUGGAACUCUUUCCCAAACAGAAUAUUCCCCCAAAUCUGUCUCACCUUAAUAUCUCAUAUUGCCAGAAACUACGGCCCCUGGGAGAAUGGGGCCUACACACACUCACCUCUCUUAGUUCCUUUACAUUUAGUGAAUGUCCAGAGCUGGUUUCCCUCACUAACAAUGCUGACGAAGAACACUGUGUGCUUCCUCCAUCUCUAACUGAGUUGUCGUUGUACUACAUGCCGAAUCUGGAAACCCUAUCAAACGGCUUACAAAGUCUCACCUCUCUUCAACAUAUAUAUAUCUACGACUGCCCAAAGCUUGUGGCGUUGCCUUUGGAAGGCCAGCUUCAAAAGCUUUUGAGCCUUAUCAUUAAAGGCUGCCCACGUCUUCAGAAACGGUGUUUGAAGAACAAAGGAGACUACUGGCCCAUCAUUGCUGACAUUCCCGAAGUCGAAAUUGAUUUACGUUCCAUCUACGAUCCAUGUCCAUGAAUUCAGUUACAUGAGGUAAUAGAUUUAAUUUGAUACCUAUGAAUCUCAACGUCAUUUCAUGCUGAACACAUUUCGACAUUUCUGUCAAUUUUGUUUUCAAAUCAGAAUGUGAAUUUUCUGCAGCAAACAAGUGUUCAUGCUACUCUGUAUCUUAUAUUUGUGCUUCUGCUCUGCAGUAUGAAUCAAUAUGAGAGCUGGAUUUACCAACAAUCGAGUAACUAAUUGGCUAUGGCACUAAAAUCAGCCUCUCUUCUCCCCUUGUAUGUGUUCUAUUAAGAGUAAAAUUCUAUCAAAUAGACAAAUUGGAGUGAUAGUUGUUUGUUCAAUUAAUUACCUUCAACUUGGAUAGAAUAUUUGAUUAAGUUAUUAAUAUUUUGCUUCAAUCUGCUUUAGCAAAUUGGAAAUGGAUUGAUACAACUUACUGUAUGUUUAUGCAUUUUUGAAUUUUCAUGUUUACUAUAUGCUUUAACAAACUGGAAAUGGGUGUGCGUUUUUCAAACCUUUUUUGUAGAGUGGACGUUCUUACACUAUUUGAAUGAAACAAAUAAAAAAUUCAUUGUUUUGGUGUAGGCAUUUUCUCAUUACUUGUAAGAACGCAAGAUGGAAUGAAGGUGCCUCUUCUAUGAGGCCUUCAAGUAAGUCUCUUUUUCGAUUUACUUUCUGCAUUUGCAUUUAAGUGUUUGUGUAAAUACCAUAGUGAAAUUAUAUGGUAGGAUCUGUGACUGAAGCUAUGUUCAGACAUAUAACUUUUCUUGCCUUUAUUAUUUCACGAUUUUAGUAAUAUUUUCUGAUUAUUUCCCGGGUUGCAUAGUAAAAUUGAAUUAUUUUAUCAAAAGAUGGAUUUUUAUCAUCUCUUAGCUUCUCUAUUUUUUAUUUUUUUUAAAUAUCUUUAUGGAAUUGUUGUAAUAGUAUUACCUCUUUAUGAUCAUUUGAUUGUUGGAAGAUCAUACAAGGAAUUUCGGGACAAAUGAUUUUUUGUGAAAAAAAAGUUUUGUCUGAGUAGGAAAAGUAUAUCCAUCCGUGUGCGUUUAGAUCUGUUAUUCAUAUUGAUAGAUUAUAUUCCAUAUGUGGAUGCACAUUGCAUAUAGAACAUAUACUCACCUUGGGUUGUUAGGUACCUGUUGUAGCUUUGCACAUCUGCUCUCCGUAAUGUUUAUUGUUGCAACGUUCAUAUGAUCAGAUGGUUAUUGAUGGUGUUAAAUGUUACUCUAAUUGAUUGCUGAAAUUGAUAGGGUUGGGAUGUGACACUGAAUUUCUCCAAGCUGCCGUAAGUUUUCCCUCACUAUUUAUUGGUUAAUUUUUCUUUCACUUUUUCCCCCCUCUUUUUCACAUUUUACUUGAUACUCUCGUUAUAUGUGAUUAAUUUUGCGUUGGUAAUAUUAGGCUUGCUGCGAGGAAGGCCAAGAAGGAAAAGAAAGUGAAAGAUCCAAACAAGCCAAAGAGGCCUCCAAGUGCUUUCUCUGGCCAAAGGUUAAUUAGACCAUUAAUCCAUUCAAUGCUAUUUCUGCUUUCAGGGAAGGGUUCAGGAAACAAUCCAAGAAAAAAAUAGCCGAAUCAAUUGUUGUUGUAAGUUCAUCAUUCUUUUUAAAUUUUCUUUGAAGCUUAAUAUUCAAGCCAGAUAUUUGCACUAGGAGCUUGCAUGAUAAUUUUCUUUAUGAUUUCUUGUUUUCCUUUUGGGAAUAAAUAAUAAUAUAGGUUGGAAAAGUUGGUGGAGCUAAGUGAAAGUCCAUGAGUGAUGAGGUAAAUAUAUGCAAUCUAAGUUAUUAUUUAUAUUUUAUUCCUCAUCUCAAGAAAGUUCCUAAUGUUAUGAAAAUAAGGAAAGCUCCCUCGGUGCAAAAAGACAGAGAAACUAAAGGAGGAAUAUGAGCACAAAUGGCAUACAAUUACAAGAAUUUGACAAUCCAUCUAUGAGAAGCAUAGCCUUAUACAUUGUUUAGUUUAGACUACGAUAUGGAAAUGACUUAUAUCGAACUAUUUUUAUAGGUUGGAGUUGCUAAUGAUGAGUCCAGCAAGUCAAAGUCCAAGGUUAAUGAUGAUGAGGACAAUAAGAGCAAUGGAGAUUUUAGUUGAGAUUAAGCUAUACAACCUUUUUUACUUGAAAUUUGGUGACUGUGUUGACUUAUUAUUUUGUUUUAAUUAAUGUAGGAGGAAGACGAUGUGUAAGGACCAUCACAGAAAAUUGGAUUCUGGAUUCAAGGUGAUAACUAACAAACAAACAAUUUUCCUUCAUUAAUUUGCGUUCUGGCUUCAAAUUUUGUAAAAUGUUUGAAUUCAAAUCGGGUUAAUCGGAUUGGUGAAAUUAGGAUUUCAUGAAGAAUUGUCCUGUAGAAAUUGGGCUUCAUGUUAAUUCUAUUGAAAUCAAUUGAAAUUAAUUAUUGAUAAUAAGACUUUUCUCCUCUUUUUUUGGUUGUGAGUGUUGCUAAGGUGUUUUUUUUUUCUUCUUUAUAGUGAGGGAACAAGCAUCUCUUCCCUUCCAUUAACUCUAGCAAGAAAAAGAGAGGAAACGUAUCUCUUGAUUUUCCUUUUCUGUAUGCAAUUAUUUAGAGGGAAUCGGUGGAGGAAGAGGAGGUCGAGUGUUUGUAGACCCAUGAGCAACAAAGGCAGACUACAAUAAGAAUUUGGUAAGUCCAUCAAUGAAAUACUCUAUUACAAUACACCACGUGCGUUACACGCCAGGAAUUAGUUUGAUAAAUAUUUAAUGUUUUACAGCUAGUAGCUCAUAUAUUGUUAAAUCAUUAAAUCACAUUCCUUUUGUGAAAUCAUUGAAGUUAAAAAAUGGUAGAGAGAAAAAUAUUAAUUUAUUCGUAUCUUAAAUACAUCUUUUGGGGUGCAGGUAAAUUUAAUUUUUCUAUAGACAUGACAUGUAUAAUUUUGAUGGGAUGACGUUAUUAUUAUGCAGAUUUCCAUCUGGUUGACCAUUUCCAAUACAAGUUUGGGGCUCCAAGUUUAGAUACUCAUAGCUCAGUCAUUUACUGGAUCAAGAAAAUUGUUAAUUAUGUCAGUUGCUAUGAGCUUGUGGGUGGACCACCUACAUGGCAGGCUUUGUAUAUAUUUUGUUACAAGCUCCGGUUCACAACUGUUGAUGAUGUGUUGUUUAAAUUAGAUAUGACUUGUACAUGGUUUUUGUUGUUAAGGAGUUGCUGGAAGAGGCCAAACCAACCAUUAUUUAAGAGCAAUCCAAGAAACUACAUUUGUUAAGUGAAGCCAACGCUCUGCUAAAGAAAACAAAAAGAUUAUGAAGAUUGAGGAUGAUCGAGUUCACGUUUCACUUUUUAUCCUUCCAUCCCCAUCUCCUUGAGUAAAGAUCAUUUGUUGUAUUACAUGGCUACCAAAUAUUUCAAACACUCCUGGGAACAUUUUAGACGUAAAAUUCUACAUUAUAUGAGGAAUUUCCUUUUUUCCGAAUGGAGAAUCAUGUAGGCUAUCUUGCCAUUUCCAAGAGUAAUGUGUGGUUGUGUGUAAUACUUAAAAAAGAGAUGUUAUUUCUAAGCACUGCUUACCUAUCAGAGUCAAUGUAGAAGUAAGGUAAUUGCCACAUUUUCCAAAUCCAUGUAGAAGCAAGGAAACUGCUACAUUUUCCUAUUAAAUUGAUUAAUGAUAUUUGUAAGCACGCAAUCUAUGCUUUAACUAUUUGCCGUUUGCAUAUGUUGUAUUCCAAA
Molecule: long non-coding RNA, 7545 nt
Filed under: Olea europaea subsp. europaea
Lineage: Eukaryota; Viridiplantae; Streptophyta; Magnoliopsida; Lamiales; Oleaceae
Source: RNAcentral